Molecule: ribosomal RNA, 547 nt
Filed under: uncultured bacterium
Lineage: Bacteria
Description: bacterial SSU rRNA
Rfam family: Bacterial small subunit ribosomal RNA
Source: RNAcentral
AGCGAACGCUGGCGGCAGGCCUAACACAUGCAAGUCGAACGGAUCCUUCGGGAUUAGUGGCGGACGGGUGAGUAACACGUGGGAACGUGCCCUUUGGUUCGGAACAACUCAGGGAAACUUGAGCUAAUACCGGAUGUGCCCUUCGGGGGAAAGAUUUAUCGCCAUUGGAGCGGCCCGCGCCUGAUUAGCUAGUUGGUGAGGUAAAGGCUCACCAAGGCGACGAUCAGUAGCUGGUCUGAGAGGAUGAUCAGCCACAUUGGGACUGAGACACGGCCCAAACUCCUACGGGAGGCAGCAGUGGGGAAUCUUGCGCAAUGGGCGAAAGCCUGACGCAGCCAUGCCGCGUGAAUGAUGAAGGUCUUAGGAUUGUAAAAUUCUUUCACCGGGGACGAUAAUGACGGUACCCGGAGAAGAAGCCCCGGCUAACUUCGUGCCAGCAGCCGCGGUAAUACGAAGGGGGCUAGCGUUGCUCGGAAUUACUGGGCGUAAAGCGUGCGCAGGCGGUUGUGCAAGACAGAUGUGAAAUCCCCGGGCUCAACCUGGGAAC